Oncorhynchus masou masou (cherry salmon) is the source of this 2668-nucleotide long non-coding RNA. RefSeq lists it as uncharacterized. NCBI's taxonomy places the organism in Eukaryota, Metazoa, Chordata, Actinopteri, Salmoniformes, Salmonidae. The transcript has 2 exons. The record is from RefSeq and is a predicted model, not a curated record.
CUGGCUUACUGGUGCUCUUCCAUGCCGUCCCUAGGAGGGGUGCAUCACUUGAGUGGGUUGAGUCACUGACGUGAUCUUCCUGUCUGGGUUGGCUCCCCCCCUUGUGUUGUGCCGUGGCGGAGAUCUUUGUGGGCAAUAUUCGGCCUUGUCUCAGGAUGGUAGGUUGGUGGUUGAAGAUAUCCCUCUAGUGGUGUGGGGGCUGUGCUUUGGCAAAGUGGGUGUGGUUAUAUCCUGCCUGUUUGACCCUGUCCAGGGGUAUCAUCGGAUGGGGCCACAGUGUCUCCUGACCCCUCCUGUCUCAGCCUCCAGUAUUUAUGCUGCAGUAGCUUAUGUGUCGUUGUGCUAGGGUCAGUCUGUUAUACCUGGAGUACUUCUCCUGUCUUAUCCGGUGUCCUGUGUGAAUUUGUCUGCUCUCUCUAAUUCUCUCUUCCUUUCUCUCUCGGAGGACCUGAGCCCCAUGACCAUGCCUCAGGACUACCUGGCAUGAUGACUCCUUGCUGUCCCCAGUCCACCCGGCCGUGCUGCUGCUCCAGUUUCAACUGUUCUGCCUGCGGCUAUGGAACCCUGACCUGUUCACCAGAUGUGCUACCUGUCCCAGACCUGCUGUUUUCAACUCUCUAGAGACAGCAGGUGCGGUAGAGAUACUCUUAAUGAUUGGCUAUGAAAAAAGAAAUUACAUUUACUCCUGAGGUGCUGACUUGUUGAACCCUCGACAACUACUGUGAUUAUUAUUAUUUGACCAUGCUGGUCAUCUAUGAACAUUUGAACAUCUUGGCCAUGUUCUGUUAUAAUCUCCACCCGGCACAGCCAGAAGAGGACUGGCCACCCCUCAUAGCCUGGUUCCUCUCUAGGUUUCUUCCUAGGUUUUGGCCUUUUCUAGGGAGUUCUUCCUAGCCACCGUGCUUCUACACCUGCAUUGCUUGCUGUUUGGGGUUUUAGGCUGGGUUUCUGUACAGUACUUUGAGAUAUCAGCUGUUGUAAGAAGGACUUUAUAAAUACAUUUGAUUUGAACUGCUCGGCCUCCAACCGCAAGCCACUACAGAGGGUAGUGCGAACACCCCAGUACAUCACUGCGGCCAAGCUUCCUGCUGUCCAGGACCUCUUUAACAGGCGGUGUCAGAGGAAGGCGCUGAAAAUUGCCAUACUCCAGCCACCCUAGUCAUAGACUGUUCUCUCUGCUAGCGCAUGGCAAGCGGUACCAGGGCGCCAAGUCUAAGUCCAAGAGGCUUUUUUUUUUAACUGCAUUGUUGGUUAGGGGCUAAUAAGUAAGCAUUUCACUGUAAGGUACCUGUUGUAUUCGGCGCACAUGACUAAUAAAAUUCGAUUUGGACCAUUUUCCCAUCCUGCUAAGCAUUCAAAAUGUAAUGAAUACUUUUGGUGUCAGGGAAAAUGUAUGGAGUAAAAAGUUCAAUAUUUUCUUGUAAUGAAGUAAAAGUAAUAAAACAUAUAGAUACCUCAAAAAACUACUUAAUAAGUAGUAUUAUUACUUAACUACUUUACAUGGGGCUAGUAACCGGAAGGUUGCAAGUUCAAAUCCCCGAGCUGACAAAGUACAAAUCUGUUGUUCUGCCCCUGAACAGGCAGUUAACCCACUGUUCCUAGGCCGUCAUUGAAAAUAGGAAUUUGUUCUUAACUGACUUGCCUAGUUAAAUAAAGGUUAAAAAAAACACACACACAAAACACCACUGGUUGAAUCGACGACUCUCUUGAAAAUUGAACUCAGGAGCCCUUUGCAAGCUGGGGUGUUAGGGUGUUGGUUUGAGAUAAAAACUAGAAAAACAAGGGCGAAGCGAAAAAGAUCAACAUAAAUAGCAGUUAUGGUUAACGCUGAAAGCUGGGCACACCCAAUCUAUGACGUAGUAGAUGAAGACACAUGAAGCUCUACUCGGAAAGCAAAGAAUAAACAUUUUUUUUAAACGGGGCCUCAAAUCUAAUAUCAAUAUUACCCGCUUGUGAAGAAGACCUAAAGAAAAUAAUGGGCCAAUCAUAUCGAUUGGAUGCCAUGACGAAUUUGACGCUAUGCGACCAACCGCUGGAGACUUCCUUCAGCAAAGAUGGCUGACAAAAAUACUAGGACCGAAGCAAACGUUAGUGACUCCUGAGAAAACCACCAAACCAGGCUGUCGUCUUGUGAAACAGUGGAUGUAAGGAAUAUAGUUAGCUAACAUUUUACUGAAAAUGUAAUGUACAUUUUGUACGCUUGCCUUGCUGGUAUUUGCCAUGAAAUGCAGCUGAAGUAAUGUAGCUAGUUAACCAUUGUCUUGCUUAUUGUGUAGUGGAGGAUAAAAAAUACCUGUAUGCCUAUGGAUGUGUAGCUAGCUAUAAAAAAAUAUAGCUAAGAAUAUAUUCACUGAUCAUGUGCUCUACCUUGGCAAAUAAAGGUGUGGUUCAGGUCUUUUUCAGUCAUAUCCAAUACCAAGAGUAUCAAACUCCAGUCUUUGAAUGAUGCUUUGUCCGCAUGUAUGUAUUACAAUUAUAUACUUCAACCAUGUUUACCAAUCCUGGUCCAUCUAUGGUUACACAUUGUAACUAUGCAACGGACUAGAAACAUGAUUUAACUAGUUAAAGACGGAUUUGUAAAUUCACAUAUAUAUAGAAACAGAAUUUAAAAAGGUACCCUGUACUUUCUAUAUAUCAUGUAAAUACUUGAAUAAACAGUUCAUCUCAA